UAAAAAGUUGUCACUGGAAGACAAAAUGGUGGCAGAAUAGAUGGACGUCCCAAACCUUGUCCAGGAGCAGAUAGAAUGAG
Molecule: long non-coding RNA, 80 nt
Organism: Myotis davidii
Lineage: Eukaryota; Metazoa; Chordata; Mammalia; Chiroptera; Vespertilionidae
Exons: 3
Source: RefSeq, a predicted model, not a curated record